This 500-nucleotide ribosomal RNA is filed under the name uncultured bacterium. Its description in RNAcentral is "partial 16S ribosomal RNA". It matches the Rfam family "Bacterial small subunit ribosomal RNA", at positions 30 to 523 of the family's 1533-position model. The record is from RNAcentral.
AUUGAACGCUGGCGGCAGGCCUAACACAUGCAAGUCGAGCGGAUGACGGGAGCUUGCUCCUUGAUUCAGCGGCGGACGGGUGAGUAAUGCCUAGGAAUCUGCCUGGUAGUGGGGGACAACGUUUCGAAAGGAACGCUAAUACCGCAUACGUCCUACGGGAGAAAGCAGGGGACCUUCGGGCCUUGCGCUAUCAGAUGAGCCUAGGUCGGAUUAGCUAGUUGGUGGGGUAAUGGCUCACCAAGGCGACGAUCCGUAACUGGUCUGAGAGGAUGAUCAGUCACACUGGAACUGAGACACGGUCCAGAAUCCUACGGGAGGCAGCAGUGGGGAAUAUUGGACAAUGGGCGAAAGCCUGAUCCAGCCAUGCCGCGUGUGUGAAGAAGGUCUUCGGAUUGUAAAGCGCUUUAAGUUGGGAGGAAGGGCAGUAAGCUAAUACCUUGCUGUUUUGACGUUACCGACAGAAUAAGCACCGGCUAACUCUGUGCCAGCCGCCGCAGUAA